CUCUUGGGUCUGUCCUAAGUAAUCUCUGCCCUAUGAAUAGUUUAAAUGGCCGCAGUACUCUGACUGUGCAAAGGUAGCAUAAUCAUUUGCUUCUUAAUUAGAAGCCGGAAUGAAAGAGGCGACGAAAUCUAGGCUAUCAAAAUUUUUAGUAUAAAUUGACAACCAGGUCAAAAGGCCCGGAUGCUACAGGGGGACGACAAGACCCUAUAAAACUUUACCUUUCGCGCGGUGGUUAGCAGAAUGCCGCUGGGCACAACGGUUUUACUGGGGCGGUGCGUGUAAAAACAACUUGAGGUCUAAUAUAUUAAAUAAAGCGAUAUAACUCUUAUAGAAAUAGAAUAAGUUACUUUAGGGAUAANAGCGUAAUUACCC
This 372-nucleotide ribosomal RNA is filed under the name Proasellus sp. Maglia. RNAcentral's name for it is "partial 16S ribosomal RNA". It matches the Rfam family "Archaeal large subunit ribosomal RNA", at positions 1924 to 2560 of the family's 2987-position model. The record is from RNAcentral. Lineage: Eukaryota; Metazoa; Arthropoda; Malacostraca; Isopoda; Asellidae.